This is a long non-coding RNA of Lathyrus oleraceus (garden pea), 1067 nucleotides long. RefSeq lists it as uncharacterized. Lineage: Eukaryota; Viridiplantae; Streptophyta; Magnoliopsida; Fabales; Fabaceae. The transcript is spliced from 2 exons. The record is from RefSeq and is a predicted model, not a curated record.
AAGGGCGCAGGCCCACACUCAUCAGGACCCAACUCCUGCUAACAGAAUCCAAGAUCCAAUGGAAAAAAUGGAGGUGCCAAGAGAUAAAUGCUUAGGGCUUAUGCCCACACGGCCAAAGCAUCACCCUAUGGUACUCGAAUCCAACGCUUCUUUCAGCAAUAUCCAAGCCUUGCCACAUUUGACUCUUAGUCGCGAUGCAGAGCUUCAGGCUUCAAAAAGAAUUCCACAACUUCGCAACAUCGGAGAUGAACCACGCGGUAAAUAAAACGACGGACGUGACGAAUUUGGCUUCCCAUCAUCAACCUUCGUGAAUCGCUCCCACCUCCUCUUCUUGCUCUGUAUUAUUAUUCCGUUUUCUGUGUAUUGUUGUUUGUUGAUGAUAAUCGCAAUGUAGAGUGAUUCUGUGAGGUUUGAAGAGCUUGGUUCGUGGAAAUUCGAAUGGAGCGGAUGGUGGUGAAACGCGAGAAUCUCGGAAAUGUGUGGAGGAUGAAUAUUUGCAAAAGGUGAAGAAGAAGUGAUGCAGGCUGAAAAUCUCUGUUGCAGAGGAUUGAAGCUUUGCAGAAUGGAGGAUGAGUACGGGAUGAAAGAGAUGGAUCGUGCCAAGGAUCGAAAGUAAGUCUGUUGUGAAGAGAAGUUCAGAAUGAAAAAUCGAUCCCCAGAAUGAAAGGUGAAGCAUCAAUUUCUAGAGGGAGAAAUUUUGUUUUGAAAUUCACCCCAAAUCCACAUGAAAUUCAAGCUGACUCAGGUUGAUGCAGGCUGAAGUUGUUAUGGCUGCAAGUUGAUGUUUGAUUUGGUUGGGAUCUUGGAGUCUGCUAUGAGCAAUGGUUCACAUGAUGACCAACAUGAUUGUUAGUAAUUGAUGUUUGUGUGUGGACUUGGAAAGUCGUGAAGAAACAAGAAUAUAGCAUGUAAUAUGAUGUAUGGAACCUUGACACUUUGUAUGCCACAUGUAAUGAAUUAUAUGAACAUGUACACAUGUAAUGCCAUAUUUUCUUAAUGCAAAACUUCAUGGAUGAAUGCUUGUAUGGUUGCUUGUAGUAUGACGAAUGAAAAUGAAGUUUAGGACC